Cyprinus carpio (common carp) is the source of this 538-nucleotide long non-coding RNA. RefSeq lists it as uncharacterized. The record is from RefSeq and is a predicted model, not a curated record. The transcript is spliced from 2 exons. NCBI's taxonomy places the organism in Eukaryota, Metazoa, Chordata, Actinopteri, Cypriniformes, Cyprinidae.
UUUACACACCAAACAUGCUCUAAAUAUAAUCAAAAUUCAUUAUGCAUUAAUAUACUGGCAGAAGGUGUUUUUUGUUUACAAUUUGCACAAUACUGGUUGUUACGUAACGGUAUUUAAGUUUAAUAUCCUUUCCAUCUGAUCACAGUAAGAUAGCCCCUCCCCCGCCCCCUGCCGCAUGCACCUUAUGUUUCUCUGGGUGUUAUUCAAUGCUAAAAUGUGACCUGGAUGGUAAAAAUAGAUUUGAAUAAAUCUCCCAAUGCUUCUUGCUUUAAGCCCUUCAUGCAUGUCUAAUGAGGCUGAGUGUGCUAGCAGUAUCUACACUGCCUUCUGGAGGACGGGUAGAUUAGUCAACAUCGACGGGUGUUUCCAGCGUGUCUGGAUGUGCGGCACCUCUAGGGCAUUGCAAAUGGAUUGGACGGCACUGACCGAGGAGCUGUGUGAGGGACCGAAGACCGCCGCGACCCCCAGGGCCAGCUGGUCACAUACUGAGAGAAGAAAAAUGGAGAGAAAGAACAGACAGGGGAAGAAAAACAUGUGA